CCUACGGGAGGCAGCAGUGGGGAAUAUUGGUCAAUGGACGAGAGUCUGAACCAGCCAAGUAGCGUGAAGGAUGACUGCCCUAUGGGUUGUAAACUUCUUUUAUAUGGGAAUAAAACGUUCCACGUGUGGGAUUUUGUAUGUACCAUAUGAAUAAGGAUCGGCUAACUCCGUGCCAGCAGCCGCGGUAAUACGGAGGAUCCGAGCGUUAUCCGGAUUUAUUGGGUUUAAAGGGAGCGUAGGUGGAUUGUUAAGUCAGUUGUGAAAGUUUGCGGCUCAACCGUAAAAUUGCAGUUGAAACUGGCAGUCUUGAGUACAGUAGAGGUGGGCGGAAUUCGUGGUGUAGCGGUGAAAUGCUUAGAUAUCACGAAGAACUCCGAUUGCGAAGGCAGUUCACUGGACUGCAACUGACACUGAGGCUCGAAAGUGUGGGUAUCAAACAGGAUUAGAUACCCUAGUAGUC
Molecule: ribosomal RNA, 460 nt
Filed under: uncultured bacterium
Lineage: Bacteria
Description: partial 16S ribosomal RNA
Rfam family: Bacterial small subunit ribosomal RNA
Source: RNAcentral